RNAcentral lists this ribosomal RNA (249 nucleotides) under uncultured bacterium. RNAcentral describes it as "partial 16S ribosomal RNA". It matches the Rfam family "Bacterial small subunit ribosomal RNA", at positions 524 to 772 of the family's 1533-position model. The record is from RNAcentral.
UACGUAGGGUGCAAGCGUUAUCCGGAAUUAUUGGGCGUAAAGAGCUCGUAGGCGGUUUGUCGCGUCUGCUGUGAAAACUGGAGGCUCAACCUCCAGCCUGCAGUGGGUACGGGCAGACUAGAGUGCGGUAGGGGAGAUUGGAAUUCCUGGUGUAGCGGUGGAAUGCGCAGAUAUCAGGAGGAACACCGGAUGGCGAAGGCAGAUCUCUGGGCCGUAACUGACGCUGAGGAGCGAAAGCAUGGGAGCGAA